UACAGAGGUGGCAAGCGUUGUUCGGAAUUACUGGGCGUAAAGGGCGCGUAGGCGGCCUUUCAAGUCGGACGUGAAAUCCCCGGGCUUAACUCGGGAACUGCGUCCGAUACUGGGAGGCUUGAGUUCGGGAGAGGGAUGUGGAAUUCCAGGUGUAGCGGUGAAAUGCGUAGAUAUCUGGAGGAACACCGGUGGCGAAGGCGGCAUCCUGGACCGAAACUGACGCUGAGGCGCGAAAGCCAGGGGAGCAAACGGGAUUAGAAACCCCCGUAGUCC
RNAcentral lists this ribosomal RNA (273 nucleotides) under uncultured bacterium. Its description in RNAcentral is "partial 16S ribosomal RNA". It matches the Rfam family "Bacterial small subunit ribosomal RNA", at positions 524 to 796 of the family's 1533-position model. The record is from RNAcentral.